RNAcentral lists this long non-coding RNA (1258 nucleotides) under Manihot esculenta (cassava). RNAcentral describes it as "long non-coding RNA (MESC_LNC005646)". The record is from RNAcentral. Lineage: Eukaryota; Viridiplantae; Streptophyta; Magnoliopsida; Malpighiales; Euphorbiaceae.
CUGAAUUUUGUGUAAAAUAAGUAAGUAAUACAGGUUAUAGAUAAACACAAACGGAUCCUAAAGUGUAUUAAGAUGAAAUAAAGUCGCAACCACCUGCGUGAUAUUGCGUGUAACACGGAAAAUUCCAUAAUCCAUUAGACCACUUCCACAGAUUAAAGCAAAAUGGCAUAUGCCUAUUUCAGCAUUCCUUUAUAUACAAAGUCAAUUCCUAUAAGAACAAUUACUCAUCGCAGACUUUAUCAUUAAUCGUUGAAAAAUCUUAACAAAGCAUUUUUAAACCAAUUUCUAAUUUGAUUAUUCAACUUCAAAAUUAACACUAUAUAUCACCAGCUUCACAGCUGCUGCUUUAUUUGACCAAGGCUAGCUUCUUCGUCUCAACAAGAGGAUUCACCGUGGCACCACCCUCCAGUUGCCGCUGGAUCUAAUCAUUGAAGCCAAAUAAUUAAAAGGCACAGAAUAAAAUUAAACCCAUCCAUAAAAGAAACCAACAAUAAUGCACCAAUUGUUUAUUAGCAUGUGGAUGACGAUCCAGAACGAGUCCACAACAACCGCCACCAACACUGUUGGAUAUGCAAUAUAUCUUAUAUAUAUACAACAUACCCAUUCAUGCCUUGAGUAUAAAUUGUUUUUUUAAUAAAUUCGUUUCUGACUGGAUUGGAGUUCAAAACCUCUUAAUUUUAGAAACGAACCCUUAUCAAUGAGAUAUAAAUAUUAUUCAUAAUUUUUAUUAUUUUAAAAAUAUAUAAAUUAACUAUUAUAAUUUUAUAUAAUUUUUUUUAAUAUUUAAUAAAAUUAAAGGUCUUUAGAAGGGAUAUAAUUGAAAAGGUGUAAAAAAAAAAAAAAAAACCAUUUUUCUUAAUAUAUAAACAGAGUAUUACUUUUACGAUUAAGUAAUUUGUACACGCACACCUGCCUCCGGCUGUUAAAAUGGAGCCGUCUUUAUUCGGUGGAGUCUCAUUUCUUCUUCUUCUUCUUCUUCCUUUUACCUAGUAAACCAGCCGGAUUAAAGCAACCAAAACAAGCAGAACAGUCAAAAACCAGCUAUUGUUAUUCAUUGCUGACCAUGCUCUUUUUGUUUUAACAUAUAAAUGAAGAAUUCAAGAAUCCACCUUCCUUUAGAUGCAGCUUCUUCUGCAACCCAAUACACAAAAAAGAAUCCUCACUCUUCUUGUUUUAUUCUUUAAAGCAUUUGGCUAUUCAUGACGGCUUCUCUUCAAAUUUUCCCUCCGAGAAAACGCCGGCCACCGGUGGAGGCGUU